Molecule: long non-coding RNA, 5182 nt
Organism: Anolis carolinensis (green anole)
Lineage: Eukaryota; Metazoa; Chordata; Lepidosauria; Squamata; Anolidae
Exons: 2
Source: RefSeq, a predicted model, not a curated record
CUUAAAGUUCUAGAACUUGAUCCAAAAGUUCACAAUGGGCUGAAAAACAGAGGCAUGAACUAAAGCUAGUAGUAUGGAAGCCCACAAACCUUUCCCAAAACUCAAAAGUACAAAAAGGAGUUCAAAAUAAACAAACGCCCAAACUGCGCUAGGGAACUCCCAGUUGAGAGCAGCAAACUGCAGCAUUAAGUAACAGAUUAUUUGGAUUUGCCUAAAUUUAUAUUUAGUAAUUUAUAGGUAUACAGAGAAGAACUUAGGAAGAAAUGCUGUGCCUGCUCAGUCUCUUGAACAGGGGCCCAUUUUUCGACUUUAAACUGUUAUGGUUCCAUCCUAUGGAAUCCUGGGUUUGUAGUGUGGAGAGGCACUAGAACCCUCUGGCUGAGAAUUCCAGAUGUGCCCAGGAUUCCAUGGGAUAUUGCCAUAAGAGUUAAAGUGACAGUCUAAUUGUGGAGGGUGAAUGGGCCCUCAGGAGCUCACUCAAUGAUUGGCAACUUUGAGGCCCUGGUUCUUCCUUAUGAAAUUUCCUUGGUUUUCAACGGGACAUGGUCUGAGCAGUUAUAGGAAUUCUACAACUCUCCAGAUGGCGCUGGACUGAAACUCCCAGCAACACUAGCCAGCAUAGGAGUUGUGAAGUCCAACAACAUCUGGAAACAUAUAUGAAUCCCAAUCCUGAUGUACAGCUGAAACAUGUGGCUGUGUGUCAUAUACUUUGAAAAGGUACAACCUGCAAUCUCUUCUUUAAGAAUGUUAACUAAUUCUGUAGCCCAGUAUGCUUUUUAAUUAGUUUUAAGGAACUUUGCAGUUUCUGCACAUUCUAAUGUUUUUUUUAAUUGAAAAUGACUCUAGGGUUACAUUGGAAGAUCUAGCCAAUGUCUCUGACGCAUUGGAAGACCGAACUAAUGACUUUAGAGUCCAACUGGAGGACCUAGUCAAUGACCAUGAACUUCCUUUGGAGGACCCUACCAAUCUUUAGAGCAGUGGUUCUCAACCUGUGGAUCCCCAGAAGAUUUGGCCUUCAUCUCCCAGAAAUCCUAACAGCUGGAAAACUGGCUGGGAUUUCUGGGAGUUGUAGGCCAAAACAUCUGGGGACCCACAAGUUGAAAACCACUCAUCUAGAGGAUGCUGCUAGGAAUCUCUAGGUCCUUCAGCACAACUCUGGUAAUUUCCUGGUGUUCCAUUGCAACCAUGGUUUCAGGUAAGCCAAGAAUGUUUCUUCCAUAGAGACAGGGUGUGACUGUAUACCAUUUUUGAGUCUAAGUCAUCUAUAAUAAUUUAUGAACGCACCUGUCCUUCAUUUCCAUUUAUCCUCCCUUUCCAGGUUUUCAUCCUCUGCCCACCUUUUUCAAAGAAAGAUUAACCAAAGCAGCUGAUGUUCUGAUUAUCUCUCAGACAAGGCAGUCUGUGUGAUCUGUGGAGGCUCAAGCAGAGCAUGUCCUCAAAUUAGAAGAUCUUGAUCUGAACCUGGGGACCCAGUGUGUGCUUCCCUCUUCCACUUGCCUUCUCCUUGACAUCUCAGGGGGUGUCUUUCCUGUGGGAUGAUUGUAGUUUGACUACACUUGAGCUGCCAUGGUUCUAAGCAGCUUAAGGGGCUUAAAUUGGGUAUUCCUGCCUAGCAAAAGGGAACUGGAAUGGAUUGGCUUUGAGGUGCCCCUUUCAAACACCAUAAUUCAUCCAUGCCCUGCUGCCUAGGAGUCCAGUGGAGUCACCUUCUUCACCAGACUCCCAGGAUGGCCAUCUGUCGGGAGGGGUCGGAUGUGUCUAACUUGAUAGAACAAGGGGGUAGGACCGGAUGGCCUUUGGAGUACCGCCCAGCUUGAGGACUGAUCCUUCUGCACACUCAACCCCCGUACUCUCUAUCUCUCUCUUGCUGUUUUCUUGCUUUGGGAAUUGGCCCGUUUCCCUGUGUGGUCCUCCCACAUUGGGCUCUGUGGAGAUAAAAAGUAGAUCGCUGCAAAGGGACGGAGGCCGGAGCAAUGAAGCUUUCCCCUUUGGUGAUUCUCUUUCAUUUCGCUGCAACAGGGUCGAAAGGCAAGAUUUUCUCGAGAUGCCAUUUGGCCCAUAUUCUGCACAAUGCUAAGGUGGACGGAUACGAGGGCGUCCGCUUGGCUGACUUUUACAUCAGGUUAAAGAACAUGCAGUCCUUCAGAAGUUGUUGGGUUGUAACUCCCAUUGGCUACAUUGGUCAACAACAUCUGAAGGUAAGUAUAUAUUAAUUAUAUUAAUCUAUAUGACUUGGUGGAUCUGGACCAAAUUUGGUACACAAGACCCAUCAUAUAUUUAUUUCAUGUCAAAAGCAUUGCAUAACAAAUACAUUUUAAAAUGAUGAAGAAAAAAAAUAGAGGAAAUCACAAACAACUAAAUAGUUUUAGACCAGAAACGGGCAACAGCAACCGCAUUGUCCGUAGCUUUAAACAACUCCUCCUCCAUGCAUGAGGCAGGGCAUUGUGGGCAAGCAUACAUAUGCUGAGUUGUUUGUUCUGCUCCACAGUCACACAAGGUGGAGGAUUCCUCCAGGUAGUGCCACCUCGCCAAGUUGUCUUUAGAUCUGCCCACUCCACUUCUGAGUCUGUUCAGGGACUUCCAAGUUGCGCAUUCUUGGUUUGCCCCUGGAGGAAGACCCUCUUGGGGGGCCAUCCAGUUAGAAUUGCCAGGUUUUAGCUGCCCAGAGGGACACCCUUGCUGCUGCUGGAGGAACAUCAAGAGGAGUGGUGGUUCUCAUGAAGCCCUUCCUUGAUUUGAGUCUGGUGGGCGGAGGCUGAUAGUCAUGCAGUGGGUGGCUUUCACAAUGUUCAACCUUAUUUCUCUCACCGUUAGCAGCAACUUCCCGUCGCACGUCAGGAGGGGCAAUGCCAGCUAACUUGUAGAGUUUAUCAACAGGUGUAGGUUUAAGGCAUCCUGUGAUUAUUCUGCAUGUUUCGUUUAGUGCUAUGUCCACUUGCUUUGCAUGGGCAGACUUGUGCCAAACAGCACUACUACGUUUGUUGUAAUGUUGAGGUCAGAUUUGCCCUCCGCGACUUGCCGGAUCCGGCGGGUUACCCACCCUUCGGUGGAACCUCGGAUCGACAGCAGUCCACUCGGUGGGGUGUCUCUUCCUUAUUCAUUUGUGGGUUUGAUUUCUGUGCCACCAUGUCUAAAAUAACACACAUGUGUGAACAAAGAGAUUCUAAUUUCGUGUUUGUCAAUCCUAAUAGGUAUAAUUCUGGUCUCAUUUGGAGUUUCUUUUUCAUUAUUUUUCCGCAUUCUUUGUGUAUUUCUUUCCAAUAUUUCUUUGACUUAGUGCAUGACCACCACAUAUGAAAGAAUUUGCCCUCUUGCUCCUGGCAUUUCCAGCACUUUGUUCGUAUGUCUUUAUUGUAGUGUCCUAAUUUUUCCGAGGUGAUGUACCAUCUGUAUUGCAUUUUAUAUUGGUUUUCUUUUAGGUCCGAGGCGUAGGUGAAUUUUAUGUUUUUGUUCCAUAUCUUUUCCCAUUCCUCAUACCUGAUUGGUCUUCCAAUGUCUCUGGCCCAAUGAGUCAUGCAUUCCUUGACAUGUUCUGUUUCGGUAUUCCAUUCCAAUAGUUUUUUGUAUGAGUAUGAUUCUUAUGGUUACCACGGAGGUGCUAGUCGCCUUUGCCCACACAACUUAUAAGUUUGGUUGAGCAAUUAAAAAACGGUUUAACUACACACACACACACACACACACACAUAUAUAUAUAUAUAAAGAAAGGGAACAUCCACAGGGGGUACAUUCCUGAACUUACCACGUGGAUAUGAAAGUAUGGAAAAUAGUGAACCUUAUUCAAAUGGCUGAUUUCUGCUAGAAGUUACCAUAGAGGUAUCCACUCUAGGAUUUUGCACUAGGGAAACUCUGUGGUAAUUUCAGGCUUCAAUCUGAUGUUUGGAUUAACUCAGAAAUACACAGAGCCAAUAUGAUUUAGAAGAGGAAUGAUUUCUGAGAGACUCAGCUCAGGUAAGAUAACCUAAAGGCACAGGUAACUGAUCCCAUUUGAUCUUGAAAAUGAAACAGGGAUAGCUCUGGUUAGUAUUUAUUUAUAUAUUUAUUUAUUUACAGUAUUUAUAUUCCGCCCUUCUCACCCCGAAGGGGACUCAGUGCGGAUCACAUUACACAUAUAAGGCAAACAUUCAAUGCCUUAGCAUAGAACAAAGACAGGGACAAACGCGGGCUCUGAGUUGGCCUCGAACUCAUGACCUCUUGGUCAGAGUGAUUUGUUGCAGCUGGCUGCAGCUGGCUGCUCACCAGCCUGCGCCACAGCCACAGGUCACUAAUAAAUACUGACAAAGGAACUGGCAAAACUACUUCUGAGUAGUCCUUGCCUAAGAAAAUCCUAUGAAAAUCAUGGGGUCAUCAUAACAGCCAACUUGAAGGCAUAAACUUGUAUAGAAUUGAAGACUGACUGCUCCAAAAUGUAUUCAGCAACUUGAACCCUGAUAGGUGUCAAAGGACAACCUGGAACUUUAGCACUCAUUGCAGAAUGCAUCAAAGGGCAUCACUUUGAGAUAGUGUAGAAAAUCUAAGAAGAAGCAGAGAGGAUAAAGAAAAAGGGAAAGAUGAAGAGAAAAACAGUUCACUGAAGCAUGGAUUUUUCCCAUUUAGAGGUUAUGUUCUCUGGACUCAGUCUGCUGGGCUCCUUUGUCCUCCUGCAUUUAAACUCAUGGCAGCUAGUUGAGCAUUAAGCAUAAAAGAAGAAACUUUUUGAAGGUUUUAAAAGCCUGGAAGGUUUAUGUGACAAAGAGCAGGAGGCUAAACAUAAGCGAUACCAGUGUAUUAAGCUAGCCUCUCAAAAGAGACAAGGCUACCUUUAAAUUGUUUAGGGCUCAACUGGAUGGGGGCUUCAGGUAGCUCUUGCCAUCUAUCUGGCUGAUGGAUCACAGUGGCUCAGUUGCCUUGGAUAUUUGGUUUCAAAAAAGAAAGGAUUAAUGUAUUUUUUCAAUCUUCAUAAUAUGCUGGAAUUUGAGCUGGAGUCUUUCUUAUCCAAGAUUGUGUUUCAUAAAAAAAGGCACCUUCUCUUUAGCUAUCCAAGGCAAGGGGUAGCUAAGGAAAAUGGGAUACACAUAAAAUCACAGGUUUUAGACUUUAUAAAGUAUUUUCUAUCUAAAUGCAGAUUUCUGGAAAAUGUCCUAGAAAAUUUUACACCCAGCAUGCAAAUCAGGACUCCACAGAGAAUUUCCACUAGGAGCUUCUU